This 23-nucleotide non-coding RNA is filed under the name Arabidopsis thaliana (thale cress). The record is from RNAcentral. Lineage: Eukaryota; Viridiplantae; Streptophyta; Magnoliopsida; Brassicales; Brassicaceae.
AUCAACCUCCAUCCAUUUGCCUA